AUGGCUCAGGAUUAACGCUGGCGGCGUGCCUAAUACAUGCAAGUCGAAUGGUAGUAGCAAUACAAACCAUGGCGAACGGGUGAGUAACACGUAGGCAACCCAACUUUAAGACGAGGAUAACCGUUGGAAACGACGGAUAAUACUGGAUAGGACAUCACGAAGGGCAUCCUUAGAUGUUUAAAGGUUACUAUGCCACUUAGAGAGGGGCCUGCGGCGCAUUAGCUAGUUGGUGAGAUAACAGCCCACCAAGGCGAUGAUGCGUAGCCGGACUGAGAGGUUGAACGGCCACAAUGGAACUGAGAACGGUCCAUACUCCUACGGGAGGCAGCAGUAGGGAAUUUUCGGCAAUGGGCGGAAGCCUGACCGAGCAACGCCGCGUGAACGAAGAAGUUAUUCGUAAUGUAAAGUUCUUUUAUCUGGGAAGAAAAAACAAAUUGACGGUACCAGAUGAAUAAGCUCCGGCUAACUACGUGCCAGCCGCAGC
This 484-nucleotide ribosomal RNA is filed under the name uncultured bacterium. Its description in RNAcentral is "bacterial SSU rRNA". It matches the Rfam family "Bacterial small subunit ribosomal RNA", at positions 19 to 518 of the family's 1533-position model. The record is from RNAcentral.